Molecule: long non-coding RNA, 4032 nt
Filed under: Bos indicus x Bos taurus (hybrid cattle)
Lineage: Eukaryota; Metazoa; Chordata; Mammalia; Artiodactyla; Bovidae
Description: lncRNA (ENSBIXG00000023372.1)
Source: RNAcentral
AAGUCCCAAGAUGACCUACCUUCAGGUACAGCGGGAUCCAGGGGUUCCAACAGUGAGGCCAAGGAGCAGCCUCUCAUUACUGCUUAGCUCAGUGUCCUUCUGGUUAUUGGCUCCAGCCCAAGGGAAGACUCUGGUCACCAGACUCACAUGUUUUCCAGGUUGUUAACUUCCAAUACCCAUUUAGCAAUCCAGGUAAGACUUUGAGCGGCCUCGCUUAGAACAGACAACUACACCUGGAUCAACCACUGUUGCUCGGGGGCCCAGAGCAUUGCGAUUGGCUACUCUGGAGUUACAUGACCUACCCUGUGGUCAGGAAGGGGAUGCUGGUGGAUGUGGAGACUGGUAGCUCUGCUGGGGAUGACAUAGAAUAAAGAAGAGAGUUAUCCAAAGUCAGGAGGGGUGUUGGACUGACAGAAACAAAGGAUAUCUACCCCACAUGGACACCCCUAGAGAACGAAAGUACUUGCUUCUGGUUCUUGCUUAGGUCUCUCUCUGAGUCAGUGCUAGUCCUGGGACAGUUGUUCUAAGGUCAUCAGGUGAAUUCUGUCAGUUCAGAGAUAAAUAUAGCUUCCAAGCCAAGGAACAUGACUUGCAAAAGAAGGAAGAGUUGCUGCUGAGCUGUGUGAAUCUGAACUGUGAGUAGAAGCCCCAGGCUAUAUCUGUCUCUUUGGCUUAGAACAGAUGGGACCCAGGCAACUUUUCACUCAACCAGCUGGGUUGUACGGAUAUCUCAUGCUCUGCUUGCUUUUAGGUCAGUGCCAUGCACACCAGGAUACGUGGAAUGUGAUGCUCGUGUACUGUGUUAACUUGAAGUUAAGGAAGUUAGGAUUUGCCUUUGCAAACUGGUAAGUGUGAGUGAAUCGUGCACGUCUGUGUUCAACAAGGAAAGGAAACACCAGGAUUGCAGGAGACACGAAACGAGUAAGAGUUUGCUGACUCCCAACACAGGUCCUCUUCGUGCGAGCAAAGGCUGGCUUUCCUGGAAAACUGGCUUCCUUCAGAACUCUGGUCCACUCUGAUACCAAACGUGGAUGCUUGUGGAAUUUGCCAGUUAUUGGGCUGAGGGGACCCUUCCCCUGGCGAAGCAGAAAAGCAUCAAACAAAAGUUUCCUCUGUGCCUGUGGGCUACCCGCCUACCUCUGCCGUGACACCAGCCACAUCCUCAUGCCUUAACGUUAACAGGUUGUCUGCAGUCCCUUGUGGGGUUCUAAGACUCAAUCCAUAGACUCAUGCAUGUUUUGAGAGCCCCAGAAUCAAAGCUGGAGAGGUGACUUUAGGAGAUUAACAGUCAUGAUUUAUUGUCCAAACCAGAACCUUUUGAGAGUGAAAGGGCGUGCUAUUAGUCAUGAUUCCAGGACUACAGGUGUUGGGUGGCACAUUUGGUCUUCUCAAUAUUUAUUGAGCCCUUGUUAGUAAUUUAACUCAUCCUUUAAUACAGUCUUCCCUUGAAUCCUCAUAAUAACUGUAUUGACUAGACAGUAUUCCCAUUUUACAGAUGAUGAGGGUUGAAGGAGUAGUUCAUGUACAGUGACGACUCUAUAGUUGUGCCCUGGUAAGAGCAGGCAUGAGAAGGAAUUUGGACUGAAGUCUUAUGCCAAAAUGGAUGUACCUUGCACUACAGUAUGUGGUUUCUUACCUAUAAUUCAGUGAUUUUUUCCUUUUUUCUAAAAAAAGACCUAGGUUCUAAGGAGACAUAAGAUGCUAGUUAGCUACCAAGACACUCCUGAAGGCAAGGGGAAGACCAUCAAAAGAGCAACUCCAUCUUCAUGUUUAAGAUAUUGGCCAAGUGGAUGAAACUUCAUUUACUGGGAGGAAGGGGAUUUCUACUAUUUGAAAUUAAAAAAUAGGAAGAAAGAUUGAAGAAGAAAAAGGAGAAGAAGAGAAAGGAAAAGAGGAAGAUGGAAAGAGAGGAAGAGAAGGAAGGAAGAAAGGAAAAUAGGAAGGAAAUGAGAGAGGCAGGGAAAGAUCAUCGUUGCACUUUAAGCCCCUGGGUUUGAAACUGCAAAGUGGAGUCCCAGAGAGAGAGAGUCCCAUAUCCAAUGUCACACAGCAAAUCAAACAGAGGGGAAACAAUGAUCUGAAAAGACGAGUCUUUUGAUUUUCAAUCCAUGUGCUUUUCGCCACACUUUCCUGGGUAGCAAGCAUUAUGUUGAGAGGAAGUACUGCCAGUUGGAACUAUUUUCUUAUUUCACCUCAUUUUGACACUGUGGUGAAUUGCUGGUCCUUAGGGAAGCUUUUCUUUAGAAAGAGGGAUUAAGCUGCUUUUAAAUAUUGAGGAGGAAAAGCUGUCACAGUUUUCAGAUAUACGAUGGAAGAGAUUUUAAAUAGAGACAAGUGUGUGCAUGUUGAAUUCUGUUGUCUUUCUUAGCAGAAAGACACGUCAUAUUCUUGAAAUGCCUUCCUUUUUUCAUCACCAUAGUCCUGGACUAUUUGAAGAAAAUUAAAUGAUAGUUUCAGGUUUGAAAGUGGAGAAAGCUUCACUGAGCUCUCAGUCAAGUUGGAUCAGGAGACUGGAGUGGGAAAGGGGGCCUUAGUCAGAUGUACAGUAUGGGGUGAGGGAAUUUAUAAGGAUGAAAACACAACAGGGAUUUAAGGAGUCAUACCCCACCCCCCUGCAGCCCCCUACAAAGGACUUUCUGGUGGCAGAUUAACCCAAGGGAGGGUGUCUUCUAAGAGUAGAGUCAGUCUGGAGGGACAAGGGGGAAUCUCUCAAUAUACAAAUCUUUCAGAUCCACCCCAACUUUCUUGGAACCGCUUCCACUUUUAUGAAGGACCUACUAUGUCCUGGGGACUCUUCCAAGCACUUUACACAGGUUAAUUCAUUUAAUCUUCACUGUGAGGUUGCCACUGUUUUUAUUCUAAAGGUCAAAUAGCUAAUAAGUGCUGGAGCUGGAAUUCGGACUGAAGAGAUUCAGUUUCAAGUCUAUGUCCUCAACCCCAUGCCACACUCACUCUGAAAUUUCCAGGCAUCAGCUGGAGUCAUGCUGGAGGCUCAGGCCACCCACAACCCUGCAGGGUGAUGCUCCUUAGUAGGAGAUGAGGCUGAAGGGCUGGACGGUGGGCAUUUCCUUUUCUUCUUUGACAUGGUUUUCCUUAAUCUUUGCUCUUGAGGCUUGACCUCAGUGUGUUUGGGAAGUGGGAAGACAAGGAGUAGUCACAGGGGCCGUCAGUAAGCCCGUUCUCCAGCAGAUCUCUCCAGACUCUUCCAUGUACUUUGCAGUUUGGGUUAGAGGGUCAGAAUGCCUGGUGCCUGAGUUCUUCUGUCCAUGAGCUUUGAGCCCUGUGGGUGAUGCUCUUCUCUGGGCUGAAUCUCAGUAGGGUGUUCUAAACACUGACUUCCUGAGUAAACUUGGUUAAACUUUCUAAACCAGAAACACGAUAACUUAAAAAUCCUCUAGUUUUAGUCUUCUAUAACCAUGUAUUCUAGGAAAUUUGGGAGCCAAUGUUUCAAGAAAGAUAGCUCAAAAGAGGAACAGAUGUGAGUAGAUGGAAGAUCAUGAUCAAAGAAGUGUGGAGUCAGAAGGGGAGAAAAGACAAUUAGGUAUUUCUCCCCAAAAGACUAUCCCUGUUAAAACUACAUAUUGAGUGACUUGAUGAACACGUGAUUUCAUGCAACUUUUUGGAAUCCAUCUAUUGCCUAAACCCAUGAAAAAAAGAGAAAAUGUGGGUGCAUAUUAUACUGUUAUGCCCCAGUGAAGCUCGGCUGGCUCUUUGGGACUCCUUAAGUAAGCUUGCUCUUCAUGCAUGGUUCUACCUGUGAUUGGGAGUCCCAGAGCAUUUUCCUCCCCAGGGAUUGCUCUUUAUCUCUCAGUCUUGCAGUGAUUGACUUGCAGGUAUAGAAAACAGAACCCACACUUUUGAGAUGGAGACUAAGCAUUCUACAGUAAGUUCUAGUCAUUAAAACUGCUUUAAAUACCCAGGAUUACUGCAAAAGGGUUAUAGAGAGAAAAGAAAAGAGUUCUGUUCUCUGUUGCUUUAUGGCCAAAUGGUUUCUCACUGUUGCCCAUAAAAUAAAACAAUUAUACAUACACA